RNAcentral lists this transfer RNA (70 nucleotides) under Oncorhynchus keta (chum salmon). RNAcentral describes it as "tRNA-Pro". It matches the Rfam family "tRNA". From Rfam's summary of the family: Transfer RNA (tRNA) molecules are approximately 80 nucleotides in length. Their secondary structure includes four short double-helical elements and three loops (D, anti-codon, and T loops). Lineage: Eukaryota; Metazoa; Chordata; Actinopteri; Salmoniformes; Salmonidae. The record is from RNAcentral.
CAGAGAGUAGUUUAACUUAGAAUCUUAGCUUUGGGAGUUAAGGGCGGGAGUUAAAAUCUCCUCUCUCUGA